RNAcentral lists this long non-coding RNA (1633 nucleotides) under Olea europaea subsp. europaea. Lineage: Eukaryota; Viridiplantae; Streptophyta; Magnoliopsida; Lamiales; Oleaceae. The record is from RNAcentral.
UUUCAUAAGAUUUUAAGUCGUUGAAUUCAAUGAGGGAUGAUUAAAAGAAUUAUAUCCUAAAUGAUGAAAAAAAAAACAUACAAAUUAUUUCAAGUACUGAUUACAUUCUCCUUUAAGAAGGGAAGGAAUCAUUUAUUUAAAAUAACUAUCUUUGGGUUGCUAGUCUUCAUCUUCGCUUAUCCAAACAUUUUGAAUCCUGCGAAGCUUAGAUGGUGGAGCUUCAUCAUCUGAAGAUAUACAUGAAUCAAGCUCAAAUUCUUGGUCAAAAUCUAGCUCAAGGUCUAGUUUGAACCUGGCACUAGCUUGAGAUUUGGUCCUGGUAUAUACUCUGUCUCUUCCUCCGGUUUUCCUCGGUCUCGAGUUCAAGCUCUAGAAUGGCAAUCCACCUAUCCAGAAAAGUUCCACAAUAUUGCUUGAACUUGAUCUUUUUCUGGGUGCUUAGGAGGGUUAGCCUCCAACAUCUCGUCCUUAACCACAGUGCUCAUGUCUUACCAUCAAGUUGGCAGUGUACGGAUAAAGUUGCUAACAGCCUGAAUGGGGGUAACCUAUUGUCCUACACCUCUUGCAUAGUCCACUUAGUGAAGACUUCCUCCACAAGCACAAUAAGUGUAUGAGUCGGGUUUGUUUCAUAAUUCUCGUAAGCUUGGAUAACUACUGCCCUAUGGUUUAGAACAGCCCUACAAGUCGUUGCCUUCCUAGCCUUCUUUCUAGUUCUAUCCAUAUCCAUCACAUAUAUGCCGAGUCCAAUUACACUUAAUAUUUUACUAGUGAUAGCGCAUUGCCUAUUAUGCUCUCAUAAAUCAUUAUAUGGAUAAAAUAAAAAUAUUAUACUUUUAUCGAAAGUUGAUUAAAAUCACGUGAGAAAACAAUUCAUAAAUGGAAGCAAAUAUAUUUAAUCUCAUGCUCAUAAUUUAUACUAGAACAUAACAUUCCAUUGCAUUUCAAACAUUUAUUGAAUUUAUACCUCAUGAUCAAAUCUAAAAUGUAACAUUUCAUGGGAUACCUUUGGUCCGUCUGAUCGUAGUUGAUUUGGUGUGCUAAGUGCCAAGAACCUUGUUAUAAUUCUUGUUUGUUAAAUAAAAUGUUUAUAGUAGUAUCUUAUCAUAUAGUUUAAUAGCCCAUUUAUUUAUUUAUUCUCCAUCGACUUUCGUCUUAUUGAUUUGAAUAAUGCGCAACUAAAAUGCUUUCAAGAGAUGAAGAUGUCAUCAUUGGACAACUUAAAUCUCAAGCUCUCCUAAACAUUUUAGGUCUUUUUGACAAAGUUUUUCAAUCUUAUAAAGGUCUUUUUGACAGUUUUUCAAUCUUAUAAAUAAGCAAAUCAAAAAAACUCAAACAAUGAGUGAAAUUUGUGUUUACUAAAAAUAAAUUUUAUUGUUGUCCAUUUUAAAAUAUGCCAAUAGUGAUAAUGAGGUCUUGAAUUAUACCUAUUCUUUAAUACUACCAACUGAGCAAUUGAAAAACGUAUAAAUGGGAUAGAAUGGGUUUGAUAAACAAAUUAACAUAUUUUAUGAAAUGAUGGUGACAGUUUGCUAACUAACAAAAGUAUGUUAACAGUUCAAAAAUAAAUUAAAAAAUUUGAUCAAUUAUUACACCUUUUAAUUUCAAUUCAAAAUGGAAAAGUAAAUAUCUAAUA